This 482-nucleotide ribosomal RNA is filed under the name uncultured bacterium. RNAcentral's name for it is "partial 16S ribosomal RNA". It matches the Rfam family "Bacterial small subunit ribosomal RNA", at positions 30 to 507 of the family's 1533-position model. The record is from RNAcentral.
AUUGAACGCUGGCGGCAGGCCUAACACAUGCAAGUCGAGCGGAUGAAGGGAGCUUGCUCCUGGAUUCAGCGGCGGACGGGUGAGUAAUGCCUAGGAAUCUGCCUGGUAGUGGGGGAUAACGUCCGGAAACGGGCGCUAAUACCGCAUACGUCCUGGGAGAAAGUGGGGGAUCUUCGGACCUCACGCUAUCAGAUGAGCCUAGGUCGGAUUAGCUAGUUGGUGGGGUAAAGGCCUACCAAGGCGACGAUCCGUAACUGGUCUGAGAGGAUGAUCAGUCACACUGGAACUGAGACACGGUCCAGACUCCUACGGGAGGCAGCAGUGGGGAAUAUUGGACAAUGGGCGAAAGCCUGAUCCAGCCAUGCCGCGUGUGUGAAGAAGGUCUUCGGAUUGUAAAGCACUUUAAGUUGGGAGGAAGGGCAGUAAGUUAAUACCUUGCUGUUUUGACGUUACCAACAGAAUAAGCACCGGCUAACUUCGUG